AGCUGAGCUGUGGUUUUGCCCAUUGUUCCACAGCCCAGCCAACUACCUGACUUAGCAGCCACCAUGACACCUGGUCAGGGGAUCCGUGCUCCUGGGGAUCACGGAAACUAAAGUAACAAUUGAAUAUCAAUUACCACCUACCUGCUUGGAGGUGUGAAAGAAUGUUUAUAAAGCAGUUACAAGAUCUCCAGAGAAAGGCCAACUUAAUAUAAAGGGAGACGUUCUUACUAAUGGGUGAGAGCCUCACCUUUAGGAAGUCCAUGAAUUUUCUCUGCAGUGAUGCAAGACGAAGGGAAAAACAAGGCAGCUCCAGAAAGGUGAGAUGUGUGAAAUUAAACUGGUUAUGAAGUUAGCCCAGUUUCAGGAGUUUUUUUCCUCUUCCCAGAUGGAUGUGAAAAUCCUGGAAAGACACCAAGGGCCACCUCUGUGUUGAGAAGUGGCUUUCUAUUGGAACCUGCUGUACCUGAAGAUCAGCAACCAUUUCAAGCGGAGCCAGUGGGUGUUGAGCUAAGGAUGGAGUUGCAGCAUGAGAUCCGAGGUGACACUGGGCUGAGGAAUUUCCUCAACUACAUGGAAAGAGGAACCUGAAAGCUCUACCAACCAACAUGUGUAUCAGUUACCAUUUGUUUCUUUCUUUUUAAAUACAAAUGAUGUGAGUUAGAAGACAUUAUAGCUAACCUUACUAGGAAACUAGUAAGAUUCUAUUGGGAUGAGCCAUAGCUUGUGGCUUUGUCCAUAUGUUCUGUGUCUGACAGAGAGGCAGCCUUGCCACUGGUAGUGGUACAGCAGGACUCUGUCCAGCACUGUCAGGCUUAGGUUAAGUAUGAACUGAUUCUCAUUUUUAAUAAAGCUUAUCUUGUCAGGUAAUAUAGAGAUCUUGCUACCAGAGAUUCUCACCCCCAAUACUUCCAUAGACUUUUCCUUUAACUUCUUUUAUUAAAAAUGUUUUACAUUUAAUAAAAGGCCAUUCAGCCCCAUACUGGCAGCUGCACUGAGCCAGACAAAGUGGCUCAUGCCUGUAAUCCCAGCACUUUGGGAGGCACUAGAUGAGUGAGGAGGGCAUGAGUGAGGAGGGUGGGUGGGGGUGGGGGGAGGGUUUUGUAGGAAUGAAGUGCACUGUAGAAAGCAGAGUUGGCUGAGUACUCAGGGCUCCCUGCAGGUGUCCCUGCAAGUAGAGGGAAAUGUGAACUGAGAGGUGGGGACUGUGACAGGACUUGCAUUCCUCAGUCAGGCUUUUUCCUGCCACUGUUGACAAUGGAAACCUGGGUGUGCUUGCUCUUGUAGAUUACUCGUCACCACGGCCUUCUAUUUGUCAUCGUUCCUCCCAGUCAAUCCUAAUACCUCACCCGGAACUGAGCUUUGAAGCAUUUAAAAGUUUAAUUUUUAAGGCUAAUCUUAGCAAUUCAUAGUUGAUAAUAUUGUACUUUGGAGGAAUGCCAGGUACAUGAGAAAUGUUGAAUUGUUUAAUCUUAGGGUAAAAAUUUCUCCAAAACGUUAUUUCUGAAAUGACAGUCACUAGUUGAGCAUUUAUUUGGCAGAAUUGACUGUUGAUGCAGACAGUAUUACACACCUUAUCAGUGUUUUCCAAGUGAAUAUCUGUCUCUAUUUGAAAAUUCAGGCUGGGCAUGGUAGCUCACACCUGUAAUCUCACAUUUUGGGAGGUCAAGGUAAGCCGAUCACUUGAGUUGAUGAGUUUGAGACCAGCCUGGGCAACAUAGUAAAACCCCGUCUCUAUCAAAAAUACAAAAAAAUUAGCCACGUGUGGUGGUACAUGCCUGUAGUCCCAGCUACUCGGGAGGCUGAAGUGGAAGGAUCGCCUGAGUCCAGGAGUUCAAGGCAUGGCAUUGAUUGUGCCAGUGCACUUCAGACUGGGUAACAGAGUGAAGCCCUGUUUAAAAAAAGGUAUGAUGAAUAGUGUACAGAAAUCAGAUUUCAUAUUGCCUUAAAAUAGUGCCUGUACUUUAUCUUCUUAUUUAAGGUAAUUUACUAAAAGUAAAACAUUUUCUUGCUAGAUUGCACGAAUAAGUACAUAAGGUCCCCAAAGAACUUCCUCUUGUCUUUCUCAUUUUAGGAGAUGAAAGUGUCAUAGAAGUCACUAGCAGUGGGAACUGGCAGUUGAGCUGAUUUAGGGGUUGGUCCAAGCCUGGGGGUAGGAAGUGGGUCUCCUGUUUUUUCCACCAGGGAGAAUCUUUCCGUUUCCUAAACUAAAGAUUAUUUCCAUUCCAUUUCCU
Molecule: long non-coding RNA, 2231 nt
Filed under: Papio anubis (olive baboon)
Lineage: Eukaryota; Metazoa; Chordata; Mammalia; Primates; Cercopithecidae
Description: lncRNA (ENSPANG00000048540.1)
Source: RNAcentral